RNAcentral lists this ribosomal RNA (254 nucleotides) under uncultured bacterium. RNAcentral's name for it is "partial 16S ribosomal RNA". It matches the Rfam family "Bacterial small subunit ribosomal RNA", at positions 524 to 776 of the family's 1533-position model. The record is from RNAcentral.
GACAGAGGCCUCGAGCGUUAGGCGGAAUCACUGGGCUUAAAGCGUGUGUAGGCGGAUCGUUAAGUACCUUGUGAAAUCCCACGGCUCAACCGUGGAACGGCUGGGUAUACUGGCGGUCUUGGGCCAUUCAGGGGCGACUGGAACAAGCGGUGGAGCGGUGAAAUGCGUAGAUAUCGGGAAGAACACCCGUGGCGAAGGCGGUUCUCUGGGACGGUACUGACGCUGAGACGCGAAAGCGUGGGGAGGCGAACAGG